GGUUAAGCGACUAAGCGUACACGGUGGAUGCCCUGGCAGUCAGAGGCGAUGAAGGACGUGCUAAUCUGCGAUAAGCGUCGGUAAGGUGAUAUGAACCGUUAUAACCGGCGAUUUCCGAAUGGGGAAACCCAGUGUGAUUCGUCACACUAUCAUUAACUGAAUCCAUAGGUUAAUGAGGCGAACCGGGGGAACUGAAACAUCUAAGUACCCCGAGGAAAAGAAAUCAACCGAGAUUCCCCCAGUAGCGGCGAGCGAACGGGGAGCAGCCCAGAGCCUGAAUCAGUGUGUGUGUUAGUGGAAGCGUCUGGAAAGGCGCGCGAUACAGGGUGACAGCCCCGUACACAAAAAUGCACAUGCUGUGAGCUCGAUGAGUAGGGCGGGACACGUGGUAUCCUGUCUGAAUAUGGGGGGACCAUCCUCCAAGGCUAAAUACUCCUGACUGACCGAUAGUGAACCAGUACCGUGAGGGAAAGGCGAAAAGAACCCCGGCGAGGGGAGUGAAAAAGAACCUGAAACCGUGUACGUACAAGCAGUGGGAGCACGCUUAGGCGUGUGACUGCGUACCUUUUGUAUAAUGGGUCAGCGACUUAUAUUCUGUAGCAAGGUUAACCGAAUAGGGGAGCCGAAGGGAAACCGAGUCUUAACUGGGCGUUAAGUUGCAGGGUAUAGACCCGAAACCCGGUGAUCUAGCCAUGGGCAGGUUGAAGGUUGGGUAACACUAACUGGAGGACCGAACCGACUAAUGUUGAAAAAUUAGCGGAUGACUUGUGGCUGGGGGUGAAAGGCCAAUCAAACCGGGAGAUAGCUGGUUCUCCCCGAAAGCUAUUUAGGUAGCGCCUCGUGAAUUCAUCUCCGGGGGUAGAGCACUGUUUCGGCAAGGGGGUCAUCCCGACUUACCAACCCGAUGCAAACUGCGAAUACCGGAGAAUGUUAUCACGGGAGACACACGGCGGGUGCUAACGUCCGUCGUGAAGAGGGAAACAACCCAGACCGCCAGCUAAGGUCCCAAAGUCAUGGUUAAGUGGGAAACGAUGUGGGAAGGCCCAGACAGCCAGGAUGUUGGCUUAGAAGCAGCCAUCAUUUAAAGAAAGCGUAAUAGCUCACUGGUCGAGUCGGCCUGCGCGGAAGAUGUAACGGGGCUAAACCAUGCACCGAAGCUGCGGCAGCGACGCUUAUGCGUUGUUGGGUAGGGGAGCGUUCUGUAAGCCUGUGAAGGUGUGCUGUGAGGCAUGCUGGAGGUAUCAGAAGUGCGAAUGCUGACAUAAGUAACGAUAAAGCGGGUGAAAAGCCCGCUCGCCGGAAGACCAAGGGUUCCUGUCCAACGUUAAUCGGGGCAGGGUGAGUCGACCCCUAAGGCGAGGCCGAAAGGCGUAGUCGAUGGGAAACAGGUUAAUAUUCCUGUACUUGGUGUUACUGCGAAGGGGGGACGGAGAAGGCUAUGUUGGCCGGGCGACGGUUGUCCCGGUUUAAGCGUGUAGGCUGGUUUUCCAGGCAAAUCCGGAAAAUCAAGGCUGAGGCGUGAUGACGAGGCACUACGGUGCUGAAGCAACAAAUGCCCUGCUUCCAGGAAAAGCCUCUAAGCAUCAGGUAACAUCAAAUCGUACCCCAAACCGACACAGGUGGUCAGGUAGAGAAUACCAAGGCGCUUGAGAGAACUCGGGUGAAGGAACUAGGCAAAAUGGUGCCGUAACUUCGGGAGAAGGCACGCUGAUAUGUAGGUGAGNNNNNNNNNNNNUGGAGCUGAAAUCAGUCGAAGAUACCAGCUGGCUGCAACUGUUUAUUAAAAACACAGCACUGUGCAAACACGAAAGUGGACGUAUACGGUGUGACGCCUGCCCGGUGCCGGAAGGUUAAUUGAUGGGGUUAGCGCAAGCGAAGCUCUUGAUCGAAGCCCCGGUAAACGGCGGCCGUAACUAUAACGGUCCUAAGGUAGCGAAAUUCCUUGUCGGGUAAGUUCCGACCUGCACGAAUGGCGUAAUGAUGGCCAGGCUGUCUCCACCCGAGACUCAGUGAAAUUGAACUCGCUGUGAAGAUGCAGUGUACCCGCGGCAAGACGGAAAGACCCCGUGAACCUUUACUAUAGCUUGACACUGAACAUUGAGCCUUGAUGUGUAGGAUAGGUGGGAGGCUUUGAAGUGUGGACGCCAGUCUGCAUGGAGCCGACCUUGAAAUACCACCCUUUAAUGUUUGAUGUUCUAACGUUGACCCGUAAUCCGGGUUGCGGACAGUGUCUGGUGGGUAGUUUGACUGGGGCGGUCUCCUCCUAAAGAGUAACGGAGGAGCACGAAGGUUGGCUAAUCCUGGUCGGACAUCAGGAGGUUAGUGCAAUGGCAUAAGCCAGCUUGACUGCGAGCGUGACGGCGCGAGCAGGUGCGAAAGCAGGUCAUAGUGAUCCGGUGGUUCUGAAUGGAAGGGCCAUCGCUCAACGGAUAAAAGGUACUCCGGGGAUAACAGGCUGAUACCGCCCAAGAGUUCAUAUCGACGGCGGUGUUUGGCACCUCGAUGUCGGCUCAUCACAUCCUGGGGCUGAAGUAGGUCCCAAGGGUAUGGCUGUUCGCCAUUUAAAGUGGUACGCGAGCUGGGUUUAGAACGUCGUGAGACAGUUCGGUCCCUAUCUGCCGUGGGCGCUGGAGAACUGAGGGGGGCUGCUCCUAGUACGAGAGGACCGGAGUGGACGCAUCACUGGUGUUCGGGUUGUCAUGCCAAUGGCACUGCCCGGUAGCUAAAUGCGGAAGAGAUAAGUGCUGAAAGCAUCUAAGCACGAAACUUGCCCCGAGAUGAGUUCUCCCUGACCCUUUAAGGGUCCUGAAGGAACGUUGAAGACGACGACGUUGAUAGGCCGGGUGUGUAAGCGCAGCGAUGCGUUGAGCUAACCGGUACUAAUGAACCGUGAGGCUUAACCUU
Molecule: ribosomal RNA, 2904 nt
Filed under: Escherichia coli
Lineage: Bacteria; Pseudomonadati; Pseudomonadota; Gammaproteobacteria; Enterobacterales; Enterobacteriaceae
Description: 23S ribosomal RNA
Rfam family: Bacterial large subunit ribosomal RNA
Source: RNAcentral